CGGCCCUAGGGCGGUGCGAGCGGUGCGACUGCACCGGGCGCCGGUUAUGGGGGGCGCCGAAAUCAAUCGAAACGCGCCCGCUUUCGCCACACGUCACCGAAACGAUUAUUAAAAAAAAUCGUUAUUGACCGACGAUCCAUCUGGAGCGCAAACGGGCGGCGGCAGCGUGCAGGGCGGCUUUCUUUGAUAACAGAAGCAGGCAGGCGACGUGCGAGGGAGAGAGGUGAAAUUUCUUUCGUCCGUCGGUCGUCCGUCUCGUCACUUCAGUUGUGUGCGCCGCAGUGUUGUUCUUGAUACGGCAAUUGCCGUAAUAUACGGCAUUCAGGCAUCUUAGGCACCAUAAAUACGGUAUACGGCAGCACUUUGAUUACCGUAUCAAAAUAUACGGCAAUUGAGUAAAGUAGAGUUUUAUGAGUUUUUCAUGAGUUUUUAGUAAACAAAAAAUAAAUAUUUCGUCUAAUGGAACGAAAAAACUUGUAAACCAUAGAUGAAGUAGAAGCGCCACGAAAAGAAACGCCAAAAAUGCAACCUUAUCUCUGAGAUUUUAAUGUCUAAAAUCGUUAUUUUCUCAUUUUGGUAGAUUCUUCACUUUUGUUCGGGUAGGUUCUUGGACUAAAUUAUUCAAAACCUUAAAAAGUGAAGAAUAAAAAAAGUAAGUUUAAAAGUAGUAUACGCAUAGUACAUAAUACAUCACUUGUAUUUUUUUUUAAAUUUAAACUUUCCAAAUAAAGAUUUUAUACAAUACGGCAAUUUUCUUAGUUUUCCUUAAAAAUCCGGCAAUUUUAGAAUUAGAAUACGGCAACCCUAAAUUUGUCAGGAACAACACUGGUGCGCCGCGCCAGUGUCAGUCAACUGCAGGGUGAAGAAACUUCCAUACAACGGUCAUCAAAGUGAAACUUGCUUCCAAACAGCGACAUCGGUGAAUAAAUUCAAAUACUUUUUAACUACCUUAAAACGCUCUAGAUGUCGCUGCUCCUGUUUCCUUCAUAUUUUCAUUUUUUUCUUAAUUAAAAUAUAUUUGAGAAUAUUGUUAAUUACAAUGUGAAAACUUUUUUUAAAUGAAAUUAAUUUGUUUUAAUUUAAAACUGAACAUUGACAUUUUUGUUAUAAUUUACAUAAUAGAGUAGUAGAAAUUACUAUUUAACAUAUGGCAACUUUGUUUUUCCUCCAAAAUGGCCGGUGUUGUUUUUGUUAGGUUGAAUUGAAUGCAUUAUUGUUUUCUUAGCCAUCGUUUAUGAGUUCUGUGGCCCUAUUAAAGUAUUGAAGAGUCGAGUCAAAUUCAAGUUCAUUCCUUCGUACCUGCUGCUGUUCUGGUUCAUCGGAGUUUUGUUCGUUCCUUCGUGAAUCGCGAAGAAACUUUCUGUUAUGUUCACAAGUGAUCUGAGUUUUCUCAAUGUGCUGUGUUCUGUGUUGAAAACUUUGCGAAAAGACGCUUUUGGUGUAUAAUAUUAUGUGUGUUCAUAAAUAAAGUAAAAUUAUUAAAUUCAAAAGUUUUUGUUUACUUAUUUGCAUUUCCAUGUGCAAUGUAGAAUUUUUCCAAAUACCUUGUUUUGAAAAUACGUACACCAUAAAGAUAAAUAUUUUCAAAAUAAUGGAUUUGAAAAAAUUCUACAUUGUACAUCAUAAAAACAAUAAUUCUUUGAAGGUUAUGAGGGCCUAUGUGUGCGUGAACUGUGUGUAUGUGUGCGUGGACUUUAUGUAUGUAUGUGUGCGUGUACUAUGUAUGUAUGUGAGCGUUACGUACGUAGGUUAAGUACAGGGAAUUUAACACCAGGCUGUCAAUUAGUAGGCUCAAAAAUUUGACAGAGAGGGUUCUCUAUUUCCUAUGUAUUACUUUUCUCUAUGGUCAACUGUUAGUUGCUGAUGCUUCGCCAGCCUGUUGUCAUUGUUUAUUCUCGCGCAAGUGUAUUUAUUGUGUAUUUAGCGCAAAGUUACUUGUAUUAUUGCUAUUCUAUAGAUUAAACUCAAGGUAAGUACUGUUGCAGCAGGUCGUGUUCGUGUUCAUGUAAGUAUAAUGAAUGUAGGUACAUAAGUCUACGUCAUUUAGCGAUAUUAGAUCUUGGAUGUAUGUAGGUACUUAAUUAUUUGUUUUUAUAUAUUACCCGACUGCGAUGAACCCUAAAGGAGUGUUAUGUUUUCAGCUCGUAUCUUAAGGGUAUUGCAAUUUGCAAUGCAUUCUAACAGUAGUAAGCGAUUGUUAGGGCAGGGUGGCAUACGACCACGGCUUUCCUCUGAACAUCAUUACAUAUAUAUCUGUGUAUAAAAAUAAAAAUUGUAUGUAAGUUGUCUACUUAAUAGAUGAUAAAUAUUAAAUAGUUUGUUGAGAAGAAUGUCUGUCAAGAAUAUUUUCUUUUUCUAUACUUUUUAGAGCGCGACGCGAGCUUUCCAUAGUCGGGGUGUUUUUUUUUUGUUUUAGUUAUUAAUAUUUUUUUCUUUUUGUAAAGCGAACCUAACUCUGUGAUUUGUUACCGUGGAAGAAAUGGACUUUAUGUAAUCGCAGCAUAUAAUAGGUGUAUUGUAUUACAUUUAAUAAAUUUAUCUUUUACAGAAAAAAAUCAUGUCACUGCCUCCAAAAAAAUUAUCUGGUGCUCAAAACUUAAAAAGAAAACGGAAAAAGCAAGAAGAAUCUGAGAAGGCAGCUAAAUUAUUAUCGAAAUUUUUGAGACCUGAGAAAUCAUCUGAAUCGUUAUCAUCAGAACUAGUUCAACUCCACCACGCAACGGAAGAAGACCUACUUAAUAAAAGUUCUUCAGGCGAAGCUCAUGAAGAUGAAAAACAACACAUUCAAGAAGAUUUACCUGGUAUUCCAGGAACCUCUUCUGGAUUUCAAAAUAUUUCGGAAGAAAUUAUAUCCGAUGUACAAUCAUCAUCAUCUCCUUUUAGAAAAAAAAAAUAUGAUGAUAUUUCAGAAUGGCCAUUCAUUGACUCUGCGACAAGAGAUGAAAUAAUUACUGAAGGCCCUGUAAGUAAUCAAAUGAGUAACGAAAACUACCCAAGGAAACUUGACGGUCGUCAUUUUUCAAAUAUGCAUUUUGAAAGAGUAAUGCCAAAUGGGGAAACUUUCAAAAGAAGAUGGCUCGUGUACUCUAAAUCUGCAGAUAAAGUACAUUGUUUUUGCUGCCGUUUAUUUAAUACAAAUCCCCAGUCUAGAUUGGGAAAAGAAGGAUUUGACGACUGGAGGCACUUAUCAACGCGUCUCAAAAUUCACGAAACAUCCUCAGAUCAUCGACGUGCUGUGAACAAUUGGAUAGAAGCGUCAAUUAGAUUAAAGAACUUCAGUGGAAUAGACAAGCACUUGCAAAAGCAGAUUGAGAGUGAGAAAACACGAUGGGUUGCUAUCCUCGAACGAAUGAUGUCAAUAGUAUUUUUCUUAGCAAGCAAUAAUUUAUCGUUUAGAGGGAGUUCUGGAGCGGAAACUUUAUACACUCCUAAUAAUGGUAAUUUCCUGGGUUUAGUGCAGUUACUGGGAAAAUUUGAUAUUGUAAUGAUGGAGCACCUUCGUCGUGUUGUAAAUAAGGAGACUAAUGUCCAUUAUUUUGGCAAACGUAUUCAAAACGAGUUAAUUGGCUUACUUGCAAGUGAAGUCCGAAAUAAUAUUUUGUCUAUGGUAAAAUCAGCUAAAUACUUCUCUAUCAUACUGGACUGUACUCCUGAUGUAAGCCACGUUGAACAAUUAUCAGUAACAUUCCGUUUUGUCGAUACUAAUGAAGAAGUCGAAGUACGUGAGUGUUUUGUUGCUUACAAGCCGGUAAGUGACUCUUCGGGAGCAGGACUUACUGGAAUCUUUCUAGAUACAAUUGUGCAAGAGUUUGACUUGGACAUGAACGAUUGUCGCGGCCAAGGGUAUGAUAAUGGAGCGAAUAUGGUAGGAAUAAAUAAAGGUGUCCAAACCAGAAUUUUGAAUCAAUAUCCUCGAGCAUUUUUCAAUCCAUGUGGUUGUCACAGUUUGAAUUUAGUGAUAGCUGAUGCAGCGAAAACUUCCGUUAAAUCAGUUUCUUUAUUUGGAUUUCUCCAAAGACUGUUUGUUUUAUUUUCCGGAUCAACAAAGCGAUGGGAAGUGGUAUCCAAGCACAUUGAAGGGUUAUCCCUGAAAAAAGUUUGCGAAACUCGCUGGGAGAGUAGAAUUUCUAGCCUUGCUGCUGUUCGCUAUCACUACUCUUCAGUUCGUGAUGCCCUUCUGAAUCUUCAUGAAGAAACAAAUGACUCAGUCGCUGCAUCAGAGGCCUUGUCUCUAAUUCAAUACAUGGAGCAAUUUGAGUUCAUAGUUACAAUGGUGGCUUGGUAUGAUAUAUUGUUUCAAGUAAACAUUGUAAGUAAGGCUAUGCAGUCUGAAUCUAUGGAUUUACCAAAUGCGUCGCAAUUGCUGAAAAACUGCUCAGAAUUUGUGAAACAGUACCGAGACUCUUCAUCUGCUCUAAUAACAGCUAAGGAAAUAGCAUCUCAGGCUGAGAUAGACCCAAUUUUUAAGGCUGCCCGAUCCCGAAGAAAGAAACGAUUAUUUGAGUAUGAAGCCGUAGAUGAGACACCAUCUGAUCCUGAAGAAUUGUUUAAAAUGAACGUUUUCUACCCUAUGAUUGAUACAAUUGAGAAUGCCUUAGUCACUCGAUUUAAACAACUAUCAAUAUUCAAUGAUACAUGGUCAUUUUUAUACAACAUGAAAAUAAUUCCUGAAAGAUCCAUAUUGGAAAAAGCCUGUAGUGAUUUGCAAAUCAGUUUAACAGAUGGGGAAAAAUGUGACGUGUCUGGUUGUGAAUUGGUUGAGGAACUUAUGAGCUUGAACCCAUUAAUAAAAGAUCUUCAAUCAGCAGAGCCACUUAAAGUUCUCCAACUUAUUAAAAAGAAUGAUUGGCAGGAUAUUUUCCCAAAUGUGUGGACAGCACUUCGCAUCUUGCUGACUAUACCUGUAACUGUCGCUAAAGGGGAACGAAGCUUCAGUAAAUUGAAACUUAUAAAAACUUACCUACGUUCUACUAUGUGUCAGGAAAGACUGUCAGAUCUUGGAAUCUUGUCCAUAGAAAAUGCUAUUGCUCAGAAGCUAAAUUAUUCCGAAUUAAUAAAAAAAUUUGCAAGCGCAAAAGCCAGAAAGGUAGCCAUUUAAGUUUUUCAUUAAAGUGGUUGUUGGAAGUUUUUUUUUUUAAGACUGUAUGUAGCCUAUCAGUUUGAAUAAAAGUUGUGAAACAAAAUUAUUACUUAACUGUUUUUAUUUCUCAUCUGUACAAUUUGCCUCAGCAGGGCAUGAGGGUAAUACAAGCGGGAUUGACGUCAUUUUUUUUAUUGCGAAUGAGCAGAACAACUGCUAUGACAAGCACGAUAGUCAUCAUUGUACUUGCCUCAUAUAUCUAUAGUAAUUUGGCAGAUCUAAUACUAGUAGGUAAUCACGGAUAAAGUAACUACAUAGUAUAGGAACAACUCGGGGCGCCAUUUUGAGAUUUUGCACCACCUAAAACUUUUGCUAGGGCCGCCACUGCUGAUA
Molecule: long non-coding RNA, 5473 nt
Organism: Ostrinia nubilalis (European corn borer)
Lineage: Eukaryota; Metazoa; Arthropoda; Insecta; Lepidoptera; Crambidae
Exons: 2
Source: RefSeq, a predicted model, not a curated record